GCGAGGUAGAGCAAAUCUCAAAAAAACAAUCUCAGUUCAGACUGCAGGCUGCAACUCGCCUGCACGAAGUCGGAAUUGCUAGUAAUCGUAGGUCAGCAUACUACGGUGAAUACGUUCCCGGGCCUUGUACACACCGCCCGUCAAACCAUGAGAGUUGGCAACACCCGAAGUCGGUAGUCUAACCGCAAGGACGGACGCCGCCGAAGGUGGGUUGAUGAUUAGGGUUAAGUCGUAACAAGGUAGC
Molecule: ribosomal RNA, 244 nt
Filed under: uncultured bacterium
Lineage: Bacteria
Description: partial 16S ribosomal RNA
Rfam family: Bacterial small subunit ribosomal RNA
Source: RNAcentral